Molecule: transfer RNA, 71 nt
Filed under: Armatimonas rosea
Lineage: Bacteria; Bacillati; Armatimonadota; Armatimonadia; Armatimonadales; Armatimonadaceae
Rfam family: tRNA
About the family: Transfer RNA (tRNA) molecules are approximately 80 nucleotides in length.
Source: Rfam by way of RNAcentral
GGAGCGGUGGCGCAAUGGAAGCGCGCUUCAACGGCAUUGAAGAGGUGUAGGUUCGACUCCUGCCCGCUCCG